RNAcentral lists this ribosomal RNA (340 nucleotides) under Arctoparmelia centrifuga. Its description in RNAcentral is "mitochondrial SSU rRNA". It matches the Rfam family "Bacterial small subunit ribosomal RNA", at positions 407 to 744 of the family's 1533-position model. The record is from RNAcentral. Lineage: Eukaryota; Fungi; Ascomycota; Lecanoromycetes; Lecanorales; Parmeliaceae.
GAGGAAUGUAUAGCAAUAGCUUGCAUCAUUGUAGAAAUUGCAAGAUCAUGUCAGGUAGAAUUAUGAUAAUGACAUUGUCUGCCUAUGUGUCUUGACCAAAUUACGUGCCAGCAGUCGCGGUAAUACGUAGAAGAAGUGUUAUUCAUGUUUAAUCGGUUUAAAGGGUACCUAGACGGUAAAUCAAGCCUAAACUUAUAUGAAGGGACUAAUUUACUAGAGUUACUUAUGAGGGGGUAUUAAAGUACUGCUGGUGUAGAGAUGAAAUUCUGUCAUACCUCUUUUCAAUAGAAAAAUAAUGGCACAGGUAUAGGCGAAAGCAUCCCCUUAUGUGAUAACUGAC